GUUGCUUUGGCUGAGGCAUCAGGCUUUGCGCUUUUGGAUCCGGUGUUGAUGUUGUCAGAGCUCGAUGUCUUCGCUUCCGUUGCGUUGGAAGGGGAUUGGCCCGAUUUGGCUAUGUGCAACCGUGCCCGUGCCCUUGCCACAGCUACCGCCUGAAGCUGAGCGGCAGCUUCUUCUGGAGUCUUUGUGGAGUCCAUCUUGAAUUGGGGAAGGGAACCGUAAACCUCUCACUGCGGAUCACGU
This 240-nucleotide unclassified non-coding RNA is filed under the name Hevea brasiliensis (rubber tree). Lineage: Eukaryota; Viridiplantae; Streptophyta; Magnoliopsida; Malpighiales; Euphorbiaceae. The record is from RNAcentral.